This 373-nucleotide ribosomal RNA is filed under the name uncultured bacterium. RNAcentral's name for it is "bacterial SSU rRNA". It matches the Rfam family "Bacterial small subunit ribosomal RNA", at positions 794 to 1141 of the family's 1533-position model. The record is from RNAcentral.
UCCACGCCCUAAACGAUGAACACUAGUCGUCGGGAUGCUAGUCAUCUCGGUGAUGCACUUAACAGGUUAAGUGUUCCGCCUGGGGAGUACGGUCGCAAGAUUAAAACUCAAAGGAAUAGACGGGGACCCGCACAAGUGGUGGAGCAUGUGGUUUAAUUCGAAAAUACGCGAAGAACCUUACCUAGCCUUGACAUUGAAGAAACACUUUAGAGAUAGAGUGGUGCCCUUCGGGGAAUCUGAAACCGACUUUUCUUCGGACAGUCUACAAGGUGCUGCAUGGUUGUCGUCAGCUCGUGCCGUGAGGUGUCGGGUUAAGUCCCAUAACGAGCGCAACCCCUAUCAUUAGUUGCCAACAGGUCAAGCUGGGGACUCU